RNAcentral lists this transfer RNA (71 nucleotides) under Stegodyphus mimosarum. It matches the Rfam family "tRNA". Rfam says of the family: Transfer RNA (tRNA) molecules are approximately 80 nucleotides in length. Their secondary structure includes four short double-helical elements and three loops (D, anti-codon, and T loops). The record is from Rfam by way of RNAcentral. Lineage: Eukaryota; Metazoa; Arthropoda; Arachnida; Araneae; Eresidae.
GCCUUCGUGGUGUAACGGUAGCACACUCGGCUCGUAUUCGAGAGGUCCGGGUUCGAGUCCCAGCGGGGGCA